This 231-nucleotide long non-coding RNA is filed under the name Lathyrus oleraceus (garden pea). RNAcentral's name for it is "Pisum sativum (pea) long non-coding RNA (PSAT_LNC018131)". The record is from RNAcentral. Lineage: Eukaryota; Viridiplantae; Streptophyta; Magnoliopsida; Fabales; Fabaceae.
AAAAAGAGAAAAAAAAAAAAAAAAAAAAAAAAAAAAAAAAAAAAAAAAAAAAAAAAAAGAAAAAAAAAAAAAAAAAAACAACAACAACAUGAAAAGAAAGAAAGAGAAAAGCGAAAAACAAUAAAAGAACAGCUUUUGAAAAAUGCUACAUUCACUAUAGAUAAAAGGAAAAGAGGAUUGCAUAACCCUACAGGAAUAAUAGAAAAGAAACGUAGUGAGAGAAUGAUUUCA